This 1056-nucleotide unclassified non-coding RNA is filed under the name Hevea brasiliensis (rubber tree). The record is from RNAcentral. Lineage: Eukaryota; Viridiplantae; Streptophyta; Magnoliopsida; Malpighiales; Euphorbiaceae.
AAAAAAAACAACCUAUUGCAAGGAAUGUCAGUAACAAUAACAUUAUCAUGAAUCAGACUUGGAGACAUCUAAAUAUUAAGUCACCAAAUCUACCCAAAGAAUUUUUAUAUGGUGAGAUGAAUUUGAUGAAUCCAGCAAUAGAUUGCCUUGUGCCAAACCUUGGUAGUUGAUUUACUUAAUGAUUUAUAAAUUUCCUUGAUUAACAUAUGCUAAAUAACAGCUGAUUUCUUAACUAAAAUUUUUUAUUCCAUCCAAAAUAUUUGCCCAACUCAAGACAAUCAACCUACUAAUUGUUACCAAAAGCCAUCCAAUGUGCUAAACUUUUAGCCACAUGCAAUGACUUUCCACUGGGAACAGUAGUCACAAAAAACUGUCUGCCAGUUUUACCUACUCAAAUAUAUUUCUGGACAACUUCCACAAGAAAAUGAGACAAAUUUGCUUUUAAUCUUUUGGUGAGAAAAGGAUCUCUCUUCAAUCCAACCUUUUACCACAAGAGAUUCCAAUGAAUGAAUUAAUCUGUCUUAGCAAUGAGUUGUGUUACUCGUGGAACUCACCAUCUUUGAGAACAUCAACUUCCUUUGAAUGAUGACCCCCAUGUCGACAACAAAAUAAGAUGAUUUAAAAAUUCCCUUUGACUCUAACUGCUGAUAAGGGAUUUGAGUACCUAAGUACUCAAGCAUUACUAGAAGAAAUUAAGAAAUAAUUGACACUACAUAUUUGGAAUUGUGCACUUCAAUUUGAAAGGCAAACGUUUGUCAUCUUCCUUCUUCUGCGACUCUAAGUCUCUAAGUCAUAAUUAAAAAUCUCCCAAUAUGCUUAUUCUGCAAUGACCUCAUUCAAUUAUACACAAAAAGCAAUAUUCUAAAUAGCUGUAUUGUGACUUACGAGCAUGAUACUGACAAUAAAAGAUAGACAAACAAAAAGGAAAAUGACAUAUAAACACAUGAUGAUGCUAAGGUAUUCAUGCACACUCAAAAUCUGUCUGGAAAAAGAAAACAAAUUACAAUUAGAACAUUGUUCCCUUGAAUGGUUUUGAUUUUGUUGUGUAGACAAACC